AACCCCUUAAGUUUAAUUAGAUCCCAUCGGACAUUUUGAUUAGCGAGAAAGGACAAUGCCUCAAGCAAUAAUCACAAUAUAGGACGUCUUUAAGGAACAAAGGAUGUUCUAACCAUGAGCCCAGGAUGUGGUUUGUGCAUUGUCAGGCAGUUUGUUCUCUCCAUCAAUUUGCUGACACUCACUCCCCAUCCAUGUCUAUUCAUCUAAAAAUCCUGAUGUCCCCUGGCUGUUGGCCUCCAGGCUGCUGGAUUUGGUCCCUUCUAUGACAACUUUACUGACAGACACACCAG
Molecule: long non-coding RNA, 290 nt
Organism: Symphalangus syndactylus (siamang)
Lineage: Eukaryota; Metazoa; Chordata; Mammalia; Primates; Hylobatidae
Source: RefSeq, a predicted model, not a curated record